RNAcentral lists this long non-coding RNA (31980 nucleotides) under Capsicum annuum. Its description in RNAcentral is "long non-coding RNA (CANN_LNC018117)". The record is from RNAcentral. Lineage: Eukaryota; Viridiplantae; Streptophyta; Magnoliopsida; Solanales; Solanaceae.
CACAACAAUAUACAUACACUCACAGGAUUCCAUCAUCUUUCAUUUUUUGAUGACAAUAUACACACACACGUAAGAUGUACAGAGCUUCCUCACCAUUUCGUCUCUCAAUACAUACAAACACCUCAUACACGCACAUACCCCUCAAUUCACCAAUACACAGUUCCCACAGCCCACAUUACACAGAUUACACUCGCAGUAAUUCUCACACACACACACUGAAAAUUGGAGGGAGAUUGAGAGUGAAGAGAGAGAUUGAGAAAGACAGUGAUUGGAAAUCUGAGAGGAGAGAGGAAACAGACGUCGAAUGACACUAUUUCGGCGAGAACCCGCCAAAAAAGGUUGAAAACUCGGCUGAUUCACCAAUUCCCAUCGCUACUAGAGCUCACUGAAGCUCCGGCAAAAUAAUAACAACAAAACAUCCCUCUCCCGUCCCCGUCUUCGGUAAAUUCAUCGGAGAACAAAUUCCAAAUCUACCUGACCAGUCCCAGAUUCGGCGGAAAUUGUCAAAAAAUGAACGAAGCAGUAGUGGGGUGUGCAAAUUCGAGUACGGGUCUUUUGUUAUUUUCUUGAUUUUGAUCUAGGUUGGCGAAAAACAGAGAAAAAGGGUAUAUCGUGGUCGGGUUUAUUAGUGGAGGUUUGAAUUGAGGUUUUUCGGGCGCGCUUCUAUCUUCGAUAUAUCAAAAUCGACAAUUGAGGUCCAAUUCUUCUCUUUUCCUCUUUUUAUUUCAUUGUUUAUUAUAUUUGGUGUGUUGGAUUAAAUAUCAUGUGUUGUUUGAUCCUUGUUGGUGAUGAAUAGUGUCUUGGUAUCGAUUGAUUGUUGAUUUCGUUGAUUAUGUAUGAUGCGAUGAAACGAUAUAAUCACUUGAGAUUUGAAAUCUGUAAUUUGAGUAUAGAAUUGGGGGUGGGAAUUAAAAGAUUAAUAAGGUGCAUGUUGAUUAUUUUUAUUCAUUGAUGGAUAUGGUUGAAAUCGAUAGUAUCAUAUUUUAGAUCGUUUAAUGGGUAGACAAAUACUAAGUUUGGGUAGGCAAAUUAUAGAAAUAGAAGAUGAUGAUUUGUUGAAUGUGUGGAUGUCUUGUUGAAUGGUUCUUUCUAUUUUCAACGCACAAAAUUGAAAAAAUGUAUUCAUUUGACCGGAGAAUGCACCGAGGUCUUAUGUACUUAUUCAUUGGGGAAUACCUCAAAGCAUCUUGUACUCGAAGAGCAUUCGUGAUGAAGGUCCGAGGCAUUGGGUAAAGCAUAGAAAUGUAGUUUAGGAUUAGUAAGUAGGUUUACAUUUCCAUAUUUUUCUAUUUUUGGAACUGUAAUAAUUGGGAUGAAAACUAUAUACUUGUUUUGUUUUGUUUAUUUGAUUGAUUGUUUUGUGUGUUUUAUGUAAUUUAUACAUUCAUAGUGUCAAAUUAGCCGAUAUGCUCCACCAAACGAAUAUGGUCGAACCACGGGAUCGAGGGGUGCCUAACACCUUUCCCUCGGUCAACAGAAUUCCUUAAUCGAAAUCUCUAUUCGUGGAUCAGUUUUAAAGAGUCAAAAUCAUUUUCAAAAAGGAUAUCCAAGGGUGACUUGGCACAGCCGAUUUAUGCCAAGUGCCGACUCUGAGUUUUGAAUAUAAAAAGUUAUUUUCGAAACAAAUCUUCAUUUUGUCACUUAAUAAUAAAACCCUUUUUCAAACCUUAAAUUAAUUCUUUUUUGUUAAUAAAAGGGUGUGACUGCUCUGGCGACUCUGCUGGGGACAUUUUCAGUAGUCGAGCUUAUUUUUGAUAUUGUAUCGGCUUAGUUUAACAUUAUGAUUGUAUAGACGUUGUUUGCGAUAUUGUUUGUACACCCUCCAUCCCAAAUUAUAUGUCGCCAUUUUCUUUUCGGUCCGUCCCAAAAAGAAUGUCGCCUUUCCUUAUUAGGUAAGUUCUUAAAGACACAAUUACAAUUUUACCCUUAGUGGUCCUACUUGAUUUUAAAUACUAUUACUCAUUUUUUAUUUGUUUUUUCAAUUAAAAGUGGCCCAGCUUGAUUUUAAAUACUAUUACUAUAAUUUUGUAACUUUAACAAAGUCAACACUUAUUUCUUAAAUAUUGUGUCCGGUCAAAUAACGACAUAUAACUUGAGAUGGAGGGAGUAUUUAUUUUAUCAUUGUUAAUUGCCUACUUGCUACGUUUUUAUAGUUUUUACUCUUAUGUGUUACCGCUUUAUAUCUGACAUCAUUUGUAUAACCCGAGUCAAUUUUUUCUGCAACAAGUCUCGGAGUACACGUUGUGUACACGAACUCUAGUUGAGUCACCCUUAUUGUAGGAGGGGGACCCGUCAGAUGUAUGGAGUAGGUGGAAAGCAAAGCAACCACUAUUGACCAUAUGCUCCUUGAACGUCCUUGUCAGUGGACCCCAACGUAGGUCAGCCUUUAGAUCAUGCUUAUCUACAUCAUAUUGAGACCUAGCGGGACCUACUUGAUCCUUUGUAAGAGACUCGCCCAUAAAGCAUCUCUACGUGCUAAUUGUUGCAUCUUUGAGGGUAAUAUGAUCAUUUGAUGGACUGGUUUAGGGAAAACAUGUGUUAGAAUUAAAGGAGCGUGUGUUACGCAAGGAAAAAGAAAAGAAAAAAAAGAGUUUAGGAGUUUUUUUAGUGACCUUUAUGGCUUUUGUUUUUCACAAUUCAAAAAUUCAAAAAGACUUUUUACCUUUUGCACUCAUUUACUCAAAAAACAAAAUAUCAAAAAGAUUUUGCCUUUGUUUCUUUCUUUUAGCAAGCAUUCAUAAUUUGAAAAUUUCAAAAAAGAUUUUUUUUUUUGGAGUUAUUUUUUAUAAAGGAAAAAUUCAAAAAAAAUGAUAGAAGUUUUGUACAUUUCAUGUAACGAAAUACAAAAAGUUUUUUCUUUCAUAAUUGUUGGUGUCAAUCUUAUGUGAAGUGUCCAAUUGAACCCCCCCCCCCCCCCAAAAAAAAAAGAUUUUAUUGACAUUUUUUAUCAUCCAUCUUUGGUCAUGUCUAUCAAGUAAAGGUUCAGUUUGUUGUUUAAUCCUUAAUUAUCCAAUCUGGACGAAUUACACAUACCUGAUUCUUCUCUCUCGGGGCUGACAUACGUAGGCACCCCUUCCAGGGUUCAGUAAUCUUAUUUACAAAAACCACAAAAAGAUUUUUCUUUAAUUGUUUCAAGUUUAUUUUCGUAUGAAAUUCAAAAUUGAAACCCUAAAAAGGAUUCUUCUUUGGUAAUUAGAGGUUUCGUUUUGUAUAGAAAUCUGAAAAAAUUCAAAAAAAAUUUAUUCACUCUUCAUUUAGAGUAGGUAUCAUAUACAUCUCUAAAAGAAAACGACAAAAGAUUUUCUUUUAAUAGUUUCAAGUUUCAUUUUCGUAUGAAAUUCAAAAUUGAAAACUCAGAACGAGUUUCCUUUGGUGACCAUAAGUUUCAUUUUGUAUAGGAAGCUGAAAAAUUCAAAAAGAUUUUCGUCAAUUCUAUUGGCAAUUUGUUAUUUUCUUUUCUUCUUAAAGUUUCAAGAAAAAGAAAAAAAGAAAGAGAGUUGAUCGGUCGUUUUGUGGCCAAAUUUCAUGAACUACACACACCUGAUUUUACUCUCUCGGGAGUGAGAUAUGUAGGCGCCCUUCUUGGGUUCGGUGAUCUUUUUAAAAAAAAAAGAAAGAAAAAGAUUUUUAAAAAAGAUGUUGAACUCCAACACAUUUGUUAUCUCUUGUUCAGUUAGUUUAAGGUGGUUGGUUUGUGGCAUUUUGAUUGGUCCUCCAUAUCACACCAAGUCUAAGGGAGAGUUAGUCAUGUCCAACAAGGAUAUAGAGAGUGACAUCAUGGAUCAGACGAAGGGUAAAAAAAUGAGAGUUUAAAGGAAGAGAUUUUGAGACUAAGGUAACAAAUGAUAGAAAUACACCGAUCUUGGGCCAGUGGGUUGCCUUCCUACUAUCGUUGAUGCACCACAACAUGCCUCGAAAUUCAUGACAUGUCAGCUGCAUCCCAAUACUUCCACCACCUCUUCUCUAUCUCCUCAAUAUAAGCCUACUAUAUUCGCAACACCAUAUGUCGUCUGUGAUUUGUUGCUCAACCCUCUAUUGAGGCUUCCACAUUGGCUAUCCGUCCAAUGAUUGUGGUUUCCCAGGCCACUAGUGAACCCAUGUUCAAUACUCUUGAUAAUCAUUUCUAUACUUAUUAGCCACUUUUAAGUUAACUGGACCACCAAAAUUUCUUACCAAGAAGUCCGACAUGGCAGAAGAGCAAAUGGUUUGGAAAAUGAAGGGUAUAGAAAAUACUAUGAAAAGUUCCCUAGGACUCGUAGAUAAAGAAGAUGUUUCAUAUAAAUAUUGAGGCAUGUCUUCAAGUUUCAACCUUUUUCAAAGAUUUUAGAUAUUGAAAUUUGAAGAACAUGAUGGACAUUAGGAUUCUGUGAAACAUUUGGUACGAUACUGCAAUAAAUCAAAGGAAGCUGAAGGGAAAAAGAAGGAAGACGUACCUAUUGUCGUGCCAGGGCCAAAGCAGAGAUUGAGAGGUCCAACUCACUAAUACUGUCAGCAUCAAUCCCUAUCUUACUUAUUAGAUCCACAUACUCACCUACAACACGGUUUCUCAUUCCAAAAUCCAAGAUAUUCUACUUUACUUCCUCAAUAUCCUUUGAAAAAUGCACAAUUGUAUACUCGUCUGUUAUCUUAUCCACAAUGGCAAGCACCGAUCCCUCAACAUCAUCCUCAGCCCCCCCAUAUAUUUACCAAGGUGCCUCUAAAUCCAAGUUUCAACCAAGGCUAGAGUUUUUAAAGAGGAUGAAGGAAAGGGGUAAUUUCACUCAUAUUGGGGAAUCCUAUGCCAGUUUGUUCCAUAGAUUGAGAUAGUGGGGCUUGAUUACUCCUCUCCUUAGGUAUACACUCGACUCACAUUCAAGAAAUUUUGACCCUAAUGUAUGGUGCGAAUAUCAUUCUGAUGUCUAGGGUCAUAAUAUUAAAGAUUGUCGUAAUUUGAAAAGAGAAAUAGAAAAGAUGAUUCAAGAAAAGUGAUUGUUGCAAAAUGUUGACACCUCGAGCGUUACACAGAAUCCUUCAUCAACACAUGGUGAUGCACAGUACGUGGGAAGUAAUGAGUUGGGCAUGAGGAUCCAAAACUUAUUUGUUGAGGGAAAUGUGUUUGAUGGUGAUGAAAGCUCUAAUCAUGAUGUGCAAAUCAAUGGCUAAGAUGUCAAGCUCAGCAAUUGGGAACUCACUCUUCUCCCUGCUAGGAUAAAUGUUUGGUAGUUUGUUUUCUUUUCUUUUCUAUUAUCUGAAUUAUUUCAGAGUUGUAGUUCGGGAUCUAUCUUGUUUUGCCCCUUUGUCGUUUAUGUUCAAACCCUUCCAUCUUUCAUUUAAACUAAAUGGAGUGCCCCUUUUUCCUUUGUGUUUUAAAUAUGUGUUGUUGUUUGUUUUCUUUACACAGUAUAUUUUAUGUUGGUUCUAGUGACAUGACAUGCUAGUGUAAUUUUCAGCUAGAUCUUAAAUCAAGUUUAACCAAGAAUUUUGAAUCAGAGGGAUAAGGUUAGAAAAGAAUCUGAGAAAAUAGGUAGAGUGCUAAGAUAUUUGGCAACAAGUUGAAGCCUUCUUUGAAAAUUAAGACAAUUAUUUUGAGAAUCACAAGAGUAACUUGGUCCUCAAUUGAAAAACAUGUCUCAAUUAGGUUAAAAAGUGGCUGCGUGAUCUUAUAUUAAGAGGAACAGAAAGAAAAUCAGCUCCACAAAAGCAUGAGUAAUUCGAUGUGAGGGAUGUACAACAAAGGUGGAGUUGUAUGCUGGAAAACUGUGGAAAAAUAUGUGACACACAUUCUCAGUUAAAGUAUUGAUAAAGUGUCACAAAUGCUCUUCAUCUCGCUUUCAUAUUGCAUUUUUACGUACUUGCAUUUUCAAGGAUUGAUAUGACGAAGGCAUUUCAUUCUGCUAUCCAAACAUUGUGUCAUCCUUUGUUUACCCAUUUGAGCCUUAGUUCUAUUUUCUUUCAUACCCCUCUUUUGGAAUCAAGAUAAGAUUCAGCAAUGUUCAAAAGAAAAGUGUUGAGCAAAAGAAUAAAGUAAAAAAUGUGUCAAAAAGAAAGAAAAAGAAGUGUCAAGGAAAAUAAAGUCAGAAAAAUUUUCAAAGAUAAAUAAAAAAAAGAAAAGAAGUUAGAAUCAAGCAAAAGAACGAGUUGUUGGAACUACGUGUGACCUGAUUCUUCUUUCUCGGGGAUGAGAUAUGUAGGCUGCCCUACUCUGGGCUUGGUCCAACCAAAUAAAUAAUUUAGUAUUUCCCAGUAAAAAAAAAACUAGGGCAUGAGUUAAUCCUCAUUAUUUGAGUCGAUUCUAAAAGUUGUAAGUCCCACCCUACUUUAAAUAUCGUUUGGGCCUCAUGCCAUUCUUUCUUUCUAACCCUAUCCAAAAGCCAAGUUACAACCAAAGAAAGACCUUCAGACCAAUCUUUGAGGAUGUUAAGGCUAAGCAUGCAAGGGAUAUAAUGAUGCAUUUGGGAACUACUUGUCUUCCUCGGCAUAAGGAAUCAAGAGAGAAAUAAAAAUGAGAGUCUUAUUGAUGAAAACCCUCACGGGCACCGUAAGGCAAUGGUAAGUCGAUAGAUAAUAAAAUGAGAGUCUUAUUGGUGAAAAUCUUCAUAGGCAUUGUAAGAUGAUGGUAAGUUGAGAAAAAUAAAAAUGAGAGAGUCUUAUUCGUGAAAACCUUCACGAGCACCAUAAGGCAAUGGUGAGCUGCGAGAAAAAUGAGAGAGACUUGUUGGUGAAAACCCUUCAAAGUGUCACUAGCCGAAUGAGGUCUUAAAUGCAAUUGACCUAAGGAAGUAACUCAAAUUCAAGGCCAUUAACUCAACAAGAAAUGGUAAAAGUUUGGACGAAAAGAUCAGGCAGCUUAAUCCGAAAUGUAUGUCAUAUCAUUGGAGUUGACUGUCACUUUCAGAUAAAUUCUUCUUUUCUCUAUUUUAAUGGGGACAUUCAUUAUAUUUUCUUUCUUCUGAUAGUUUUAUUUUUAUUUUCUUGAGUCAUUUAUUCAAAUAAAAAAAUCAUUGUCAUUUUUCUCGUGUCUUUGAGUCAAGUUUAUGUCAAAAUAAGUGAGAAAAGUUUUCAAAAUUGGAUACUAACUUCUUCAAUUGCGCUAAGAAAGACAAAAGGAAAGCACAUGAAAGAAACAAGAUUGCAAGUCAGAACAAGGCAUACAGAAGGUUGUUGUCAACCAACAAAUUUGGAGAAUUCGUGGAAAUACCAAUAUCUAAAGGGGAUUGUCUUAGAAACAUAGCAAAGCAGAGAUACUGUGUUUGUUUUAGAGUCACUCUUAAUAAUCUGAGUCUGGAGCAAUGGUGAAACAAGGCAAUGACGAAUGUUAAUGAUUGGAAUUAAGAUUUUAAUGGGACCAGUGCAAGAGAAAUUGCCUCAAAAGCAAAAUCCGCAAGCCAACCACCUUGUUUAAAACUCACAAGUUUUCUUUGUUAUAAAACAGGAAUGGUUGCUACCUUUUAAUCAAAGUCUUCAAAGCACAAAUAUCCAGAGCUGCAAUUCCUCAUUUCUGCAAAUGCAAGAGCAUAGGUUUGGUAAUUGCAAUUAUGGUAAAACUUAUUAUCUUGUACCCCUAAGAGACACAUUCUCUAAUUUAGGCCUUUCAUGUCUUACGGCUAGGAGGUGCACUUCCUAAUUUGAACCGUUAGUUCUAAAAGAUGCACUUUUAGCAAGAACCUUUCACAUUCAUUCUUAAGAGACGAACUUUUUGGUCUCAGUCAUUCAAUUUUACCCUCAAAAGGGACAUUUGUUGAUCAGGAUCUUUAUUUAUCUUUGUAACGACCCUCCUGGUCUUGUGAAAUCUUUUCAACUUCCUUAUUCUAGCUCUUAUGGUAGUUUGUAUAUGUAAUUUAUGACUUACGAAGAUAGAUAGUACCGAUUCUUGAUGUGUUCUAGGUGAGUUAAGUUCCUAGUUGGGUAUUUUAGAUAAUUAAUUUAAUUAGUAAUUUAAUGGGUCCAAAACCAUAGUUUAACUACUUAUGGGGUCAAUACAAAAAAUAAAUUUAAGUUAGAAGGGUUUAUCGGGUAUAAUAAUAGAAGCAAAUAAUCCCAAGAAAGGGUGAACGACGGUUAGCAGCCAUAUUUUGUAUUCACCUCUUUAAAGAAAAUUCGUGACCUCUUAUAGGUUUCCUUUCUAAUAUCUUUAGAAUUUGAUUAGAAACUAGUAAAUAAAUGUUGUGUAGUGAUUUCCUGUAAUCAUUGGCAUAGUUGACCAUACAAAGUAAUAUUAAAAUAGUAAUAUGAGAGAUAUGAGAUAUUCUUACAAUUUGUCCUUUUAUAUGGAUUGGGAUAAAUCAGUGGAUACAAAUUUAUAUUAGGAUAGCCGGUCAUAUUUUAAUGAUGAUUAUGGGUUUUUGGUGCCUGCAGUGUCAUGAUAGAACUAUUUUGUUCUUGGCAUCAACAGCAUGCCUCGGAGAUUUGGAACUAACAAUUGUUAUUUUAGACAGUAACGACAUAGUAAUAAUAAUUUCAUAAUCAUAUUGAGGUUUAAGCGUAGAAAAUCAUUGUGUUUAAUAUGGAUGGAUUUUAUAAUUUAACAUGUUAUCAAACCAUAUAUGUUUUGGGUUAUGGUUAUAUAUAUGUGCUCUAUUGAUAAAUUAUUCUGCACUAGCUAUUUGAUAUCAUUUAAUUUUAAUGGGAAUAGUCUUCUUACUAUUUCGUUAGUACAUAAGACUAGAAUGAAUAUUUUAUUUAGCUAAACAAUUCGUUCAUGGCUAUUUGAUUGGAUUGGACUCGAUGUUCCUGUUUUGGCUAUUUGAUUUACUCAAUAUUGGCCAUUGAAUUGACAUAUUAUAUUGUUUGCUCUCUAAAUCAACAGGAGAUACUAUUUUGAUUAUUUCAUAGGUCUUAAGGGUAAAAAUGUGUAAAAUGGGUGUCACUAGAUUCGUACUCUUAUUGGGAUUAUAGUUUGAACAACUUUGAAAUAUUCGGAAGCUUUAUGGAAGGGCAAAACCCUUGCACAUUAGCUUGCUUUUGAGUUCUUCGAUUGAGGUAGGUUAUGAUUUAAUUAGAGUUUAGAAUCAACUUGAUUGUGUGUAUGCUCCUAAAUUAGAUACUUGUUGAUUGGUAUUCGGAUAUGCUUGAAAUUGUUGAUGUUUGGACUAUUGAUUUGUGUAUAAAUGAUUAUUGAAAAUUUACUUGAUGGAAUUGUCUUAUGACUUUAAAUGUACUUGUAAACUUGGUGCAUUGUGUUGUAUGCUUGAGGUAGUUUAAAUUUGAUAUUGAUAUUACUUGUUUAUAUGUUGGAUCGGGUACCAUGCCGGUAUGGAUAUGUAUAUAUUGGAUCGGGUACCACACCAGUAUGAAUAUAUAUAUGUUGGAUCGGGUACCACGCCAGUACGGAUAUGUAUAUGUUGGAUCGGGUACCACGCUAGUACGGAUAUUUAUAUGUUGGGUUGGGUGCCACACCGGUGUGGAUAUGUAUAUGUUAGAUCAGGUACCACGUUGGAUCGGGUACCACACCGAUACGGAUAUGUAUAUGUUGGAUCAGGUACUACGCCUGUAUGGAUAUGUAUAUGUUGGAUCGGGUACCAUGUUGAUACGGUACAUGAACAUAGAUUGUUCCCUGCAGGUCAUGACUAUUUGGGUAAAAAUAAGCCCCAUAGCAUGUGUGUACGUAUUUAUAUUGAUUCUGUGGAUGUUUAUAGCAUGGUUGAUACUCUUGAUGGUUAUGUGGCUUAUUUGUGAGCACUGUUUGACCUAUUGUUGUUGUUGUUGUAUUGUUGAUUCAUUGAAUAUUUAUUUUGUGACGAUGCCUGUUUACUUGUUAUCUAAUUUAUGUUGUGUAAAUGCUAUUAAAUUGAGUUGGCCUAUGAUACCUACCAGUACAUAGUGGUUUGUACUGAUACUACCCUGUACUUUUCUUUUGUUGAGUGUAGAAAGUGUUCUUGGGACUCAGACAUGACCUCACCUCUAGAGUUUGAUAGUAGAUCUUGAUCCAAGGGUGAGCACUCUGUCUCCAGGAUGCCAUAGGUCAUCCUAUUUAUUCUGUCCAUCUUUCGGGCAAUGAAACAUUCUUUAUUUACUUUAUUUUUGGAUAUCCCUUUAGACAUGAUCUUUGUUAGUAGUUCUUGUACGAUGACUUUCGGAUCUUGAAAAUUUUAGUAAGUAGUUUGUUUUAAUUCCGUAUUAACAAUGAUUAGUCUUGAAUUAUUGUUAUUAUGUUGAUUUUAUAAUAAUAUUAUCUUAAUAUUGAUUAAGUGAUUGGGUAAUAGUUCGAUUUAGAUGGUUCUCCCACAGAAAGAUUAGUGUGGGUGCCACUUAUGGCCAUUUGGGUCAUGACAAAGUUGGUAUCAAAUCCCUAGGUUUGUCGAUCUCGUCGUAUAAGAACAUGUCUAGUAGAGUCUUGCAGAACGGUACGGAGACGUCUAGAGUCUUGCAGAACGGUACGGAGACGUCUGUACUUUCCUUCGAGAGUCUAUGAGACACUAGAAAAAUUUAAAUUCUUCUUCCUUAUGUGUUACUACUUGAUUUCAAUUGGUAUCUGACUUUUUUUCACUCUUAUUCUCGAAGAUGGGUGUGGUUGAGAGGUAUGGUAUAGAACUAGUUGUCACACCACUUUUUAAACUCCAAAAAAGAUUCGUUUUAAGUUCGAAAGGGUUUUUAUUAUCAACGUGACAAAAGAUAAAAAUUUUGUUUCGAAAAGAAUUCACUUUAAAAUUAACUCAGAGUCGCCACUUGGCAUAAUCCGGUGUGCCAAGUCACCUUUGAAAAAUCCUUUUCAAAACGAUUUGACUCUUUAAAACUGGUUUGCAAACAGAGAUUCCGGCUAAGAAAUUCUGUUGAUCGAGGGGAAGGUGUUAGGCACCCCUCGGUCUCAUGGUUCAACCACGGUCGCUUGGUAGAGCGUAUCGGCUAAUUUGCCAUUCUGAAUUUAUAAACCACACAAAACAAACAAAAAACAAACAAACAAACAAACGAAAACAAAACGAACCAAAAAUAUAGUGUCCAGUCCAAUUUAUACAUUCCAAAUAGAAAAAUGCAAAAAAUAAAUCUUAUCUAACCUAUACUAAUUCUAAAUUUGCUCUCGUGCAUAACCCGACGCCUCGGGCCUUCAUUAUAAAUGUUCUCAGGGUACAUAAUACUUUGAGGCAUUCCCCGGUGAAUGAACAUAAAUACCUCGGGGCAUUCCCCGGCCAAAUGAUACAUUCAAUCCCGAAAUCAAUAAAACCAAACCGUUCACACUCAUUUCAAGCAUUCAAUAAUUCAACGAGCAAAACUUAUUCCUAAAUCUUUGCCUACCCGAGCCUACUUUUGUCUAUUCAUUAGGCCUACCAUGAUACUAUCACGUCAAUGAUAUUCAAUGAAUCAAAAUAAAUUAACGCUUGCUUUUUUAUCAAUUUCAAUUCCUACCCCCCUUAAAAAAUAGCUUCCUUUUCAAUCAAUCAAUGAUUAAUUGAUCUUUCAGUUUAGCACCUUUUCAAAAUUCAAAACCAACAUCCAUACAUCAACCAACGAAAAUUCAAACAUAUGAAUCAUUAAUACCCAUCACAACAGUUAAGACCACUAAAAUUAUCAAGAAAUCACGCCAAGGCCAUAUUUGAACUAAUAAAGAGAUAGAGUUGAGAAAAUGAACCUUUGAAUAUUACAAUGAUAUCAAUGUUUAAGAAAACCAGACUCGAAACGCUCGAAUAGAAACUCUCAACAGCGUCAAGAUCAUAACUAGAAUCGAUAAACAUCAGUCCAAAAUUGACCACAAUAACCUGACUAAGACCCAAAAUAGAAAUUCCAACCCGAUCGACGACACGAUUUGAUAAUAAAAAAAACCUCCAAGACCAUCAAUAACAACGAACAACAAACAUAGAUGAAACAAAAAAAAAACUCCCAACGAUACGAUAGAAAUCGAGAUCCAAGAGAUUCCGGCGAAGUAGUCGCCGGAACAGUGACCAAACCUGCAAAACCCUUUUCCGAAUAACUUCAAAUCUACCCUUUUUUCUUCCCCGUUACAGAUCCACCCUCAAUUUCUCUCUCACGUGCGAGUCUCUCGAUAUUUUUGGUCAAACUCUCCACUACCUGAUUGUCUAUUCCGGUUGUGUGUUCUGUGUGCGUGAGUGAGUGUGAAUUAGUGAGGUGUAGUAUAUGAGAUUGUGUGCAUGCGAGUUACUGUGUAAAAGAAAAGACGGCCCCAAAAUUGGAGUCCGUCAGUGUUUUUUUUUUUAAUGAAGAAGAUCAUGUUCUUGGUGUGUUAUGUGUAGAUGAUGAUAAGAGCAAGAACCAGAAAAAUUGUGAGGCCUACCCCCCCCCCUUUCUCUCGUGCACUGUGUGUGUAUAUAUUUCAAAAGGAAAGAAAAAUAUUUUUGGAGACUUAUGGGUCCAUCCCCCUAGGUAAUUUCCUGGAAAGUUCCCUGGGUCCUUUCUUUGUUAACAAGCAAAAUAAGAGAGGGAGUGAGGGGUCACGUGAGGUAGGGGAUAGGAGGGGUAGGGGUUCGGAUGUGUUGUCAAUUUUUAAUAGGUUGAGUUGUUGGAAUCUUUAAAAUAAGACAAAAUUAGUUAGGUUUGUUAAAUGGGUUAAAAACAAAACAAAACAAAUAAAUAAAUGAGUAAAAGAUGAGGUGGUUAUUUAUUUUCUUGGGGAAAAAUUACUAUGUGGAUAGGGUAUGUAGUAAAAUGAGGUAAACGAUAAAAUGUGUGAAGGGACAAAAUUACGUGUCUACAUCAUGCCCCCUUUGAAUGUAAACACCUAGUGUUUUCAUACAAAGAAGUAGACAACGAGACAGAAUUUUGUCCCAAUCAUUAUUCGAAGAAAGAAACAAAAGAAAGAAAGAGAACCGAGUCUUGACGGACAUCCUACCUACCCAUGUUAUGAGGGAAUCAAGUGACUGGUAUCUCCAAGGGUUGGAAGGAGAGGAACUAUACCGAGUUGGAGAGUCGAGUGAGGUUCCAUCGAGGUUUUGGUCCGCGGCUCUGUCAUUACAUCAAAAAUAAAAAUUACACGUUAAAACAUCAAUGAAAUUACAAAAUCCUAUCUAUGGAGCUUUCUUUGACUAUUUACUCGCUACUCCAUCACCUUAUUCUUCAGGCGGGCUCCUGACUUGCAAUUUCUUCACCCUGUUGCUUGACUUUUAACUUCUUCACCCUGUUCUUCAGGCGGGCGUCUGACUUGCUAUUUUUCUUUCGAUUUCUUCACCUUGUUGCUUGACUUUCCACUUUUCACCCUAUUUUCAAGUGGAACCCUGACUUUUAAUUUCAUCACCCUGUUCUUCAGGCGAGUUCUUGACUUUCCAUUUCAUCACCCCAUUCUUUAGGCGAGUUCUUGACUUAUAAUUUCGUUACCCUGUUCUUCAGGCGGGCACCUGACUUACAGCUUCAUCACCCUGUUCUUCAGGUGGGCUCCUGAACUCAAAAUAAAAGCUAGAAAUAAAAUUAUCCCAAACGAAGAUUAUGAUAAAGAAAAAUUUCACUUUUUCCUAAAAGUAAUGUCCCAUUUUCCAGGAGGGUCCUGAACAUAAAGUAAAUUCCCAUUUUUAAAGAGGGUCCUGAACAGAAAGUAAAUUCCCAUUUUUCAGGAGGGUCCUAAACACAAAGUAAAGUCCCAUUUUUCAGGAGGGUCCUGAACAGAAAGUAAAAUUCCAUUUUUUAGGAGGGUCCUGAACAGAAAGUAAAAUUCCAUUUUUCAGGAGGGUCCUAAACAGAAAGUAAAAUCCCAUUUUUCAGGAGGGUCAUGAACAGAAAGUAAAAUCCCAUUUUUCAUGAGGGUCCUGAACAGAAAGUAAAAUCCUAUUUUAAGGAGGGUCCUGAACAGAAAGUAAAGUCCUCAUGGAUGUGUUUUUCCAAUGGUAACUGAAUUAAAUGAAGUGAAUUUGCCCCUAUUUCAACAAAGAAAAUUUGUCAGUUAAAAACUUAGUGGUGGCUUGUAGCACUUGGCUUCCCAGGGAUCUGCUCCAACCAUUGUUCCUUUCACCUUUGUUUCAGAUCACUGAAACUUAUCUCUGUCUUGUCGCAUCAUUGACCCAGAUCCAAAUUGAGGGAAAUGAGUUUUGACUCGAACAAUGAGUCUCCAUUUUACCAUGCCUCUGAGAUGCACCCUUUUCCAAAUCUUAAUACUCCCACGAAUCCAGCAGCCUGUCGGUUGAUAGACUUCCUUUUCUUUGUGUUGAAUUACGAUCAUAUUUCUUUCAUGUGCUGGUCCUUGGCUUUUCCUCAGAAAAUUGGAAAGACUGGUAGCAAGUUUUGAAAUCUUUUCUCGCUUGUUUUGACACAGACUUGACUUAAAAUGUAGAGAAAUGAUGGUGACUGUUAUUUUGAUAAAUGACAUAAAAAGACAAAAUAUGAAUAUGUAAUGAAAGAAAAAGGAAAUGUCCCUUAUUCAAAAAGAAAACUUAUCUGAAUACGGCAACCAAUUCCAAUGAGUAUGACAUGCAUUUUGGAUUAAGCUGCCUGAUCUUCCUAUCCAAACUUCCCAUUUUUUGUUGAGUUCAUGCCUUUGCCACUGAGCCACUUCUUCAAAUCCAUUGGACUCACAUAACUCAUUCAAUUGAAAACAACUUAAAAGACUUUCGCCAACAAAUCUCUUUCCUUUUCACUUUUCUCUCAAACUCGCCAUCGCCUUACGGUGCCCAUAAGGGUUUUCACCAAUAAGACUCUCAUUUUUAUUUCUCUCAGCUCCCCAUCGUCUUAUAGUGCUCGUGAGGGUUUUCACAAGUAUGAAUCUCUCAUUUUUAUUUCUCUCGACUCACCAUUGCCUUAUGGUGCCCGCGAGGGUUUUCACUAAUAAGACUCUCAUUUUUAUUUCUUUCCUGAUUUUUUAUACUGGGGAAGACAAGUAGUACCCAACAAUGUAUCAUUAUAACCAUUGCAUGCUUAGUCUUAACAUUAUCAAAGAUUGAUUUGAAGGACUUUCUUUGGUUGUAGCUUGGCUUUGGAUAAGGUUAGGAAAGGAUGACAAGAGACUCAAACGAUACUUGAAGUGGGGGUGGGAGUUACAACUUUUGAAAUCGACUCAAACAACACAUUAACUCAUGCCCCAGUUUUUGUUGACUGGUACCAGAAUCUAAAAUCUUUAUUUGGUUGGACCGAGCCCUGAAUAGGGAAGCCUAUGUAUCUCACCCCCAAGAGAGGAGAAUCAGGUCGUACAUAGUUCCAUCAGCUUGUUCUUUGUUUUGAUCUAAUUUUCUCUUCUCUUUUUUUUCUUUUAUUAUUAUUUAUUUAUUUUUAUUAUUUUUUUAUUGACAUUUCACUUUUUGCUUUGUUUUGAUUCCAAAAGAGGGAUAUGAAAGAAAAAGAGGACUAAGCUCAAACGGGGUAAACAAAGAAUGUCACAAUGUUUGGAUAACAGAAUGAAAUGCCUUCAUCAUAUCAAUCUUCAAAAAUGCAAGUACUAGACAUGUACUAAAAUCAACAAAGGAUAAAAUAUCAUACAUAAUAUCUUUUGACCGCAUCAACAUUGAUAGCCAUUUCUGCCAUUUUGCCUUCAAUAUCUGUCAAAUAUAAGGCUCCAUUGGGCAACACUUUCUUCACCAUGAAGGGACCUUGCCAAUUAGGGGAGAACUUGCCUUUUGCUUCAACCUGAUGAGGAAGAAUACAUUUCAAUACCAACUGACCAACUUCAAAAUUCCUGGGACGUACCUUUUUGUUAUACGCUCAAGCCAUUCUCUUCUGAUACAAUUGGCCAUGACAUACCGACUUCAAUCUUUUUUCAUCAAUCAAACUCAAAUGUUCCAAUUAGGUUUUGGCCCACUCAUCAUCAUCAAUCUCUGAUUUCACAAUGACUUAAAGAGAGGGAAUUUCAACUUCAGUGGGAAUGACUGCUUCUGUCCCGUACACCAAUAAAUAUAGAGUUGCCCCUGUUGAAGUGUGAACAGUAGUGCGAUACCCUAGCAAUGCAAACGGCAACUUCUCAUGCCAUUGUCUAUAUCCUUGCACCAUUUUCUGUAGUAUUUUCUUGAUAUUCUUAUUGGCAGCUUCCACCGUGCCAUUUGUCUUUGGAAGAUAUGGAGUGGAAUUUUGAUAUACGAUCUUAAACUGUUGGCAUACUUCUUGAAUCAAAUGUCUAUUGAGAUUGGCAGUAUGUCUGUAAUGAUCAUCUUUGGAAUUCCAAACCUACAAAUGAUGUUGGCAUGAAAGAAAUCUACUACCGCCUUCUUUGUUACCGACUUGAAAGUUACUGCUUCUACCACUUUGUGAAGUAAUUAAUGGCCACCAGAAUAAACCUAUGCCUAUUUGAUGCUUUUGGCUCAAUCAGUCCAAUCACGUCCAUUCCCCAGGCUAUGAAAGGACAUAGAACAACCAUUGCGUGCAACUCAGUUGGAGAAGAAUGUAUUAGAUCACCGUGUACCUGACAUUGAUGACACUUGAGAACAAAUCGAAUAGAAUCCCUCUCCAUAGUGAGCCAGUAAUAGAGAAUCUUCUUUGAUAAGACAUAACCGUUCAUAUGAGGCUCGCAUACUCUGGAGUAAACUUCAACAAUGAUUGCCGAAGCUUCUUUUACAUAUACAUACCUCAAAAGUCCCAGAUCCGGGGUUCUCUUGUAUAAGACUCUUCCACUUAAGAAAAAUCCACUAGCCAAAUGCCUAAUAGUCCUCUUUUAAUCAUUGGUGGCAUGUGCUGGGUAUUCUCCUGACUGGAUGUACUGCUUGAUAUAAAAGAACCAAGGUUCUCCAUGGAGCUCUUCUUGAACUGCAUUACAAUAAGUGUGUUGAUCAUGACUCUGAAUAUGCACUGGAUCGAUGUAGGCCUUAUCAGGAUGUUGGGGCAUCGAAGAUAAAGUGGCCAACCCAUCAGCAAUCUCAUUGCAAAUUCUUGGAAUAUUCCUAAACUUUACAGACACAAACCGUUGACAUAGAUCUUUCAAGCAUUGUCAAUACGGUAUUAGCUUUAAAUCUUGCGUCUCCCAAUCACCUUGAAUCUGAUAGUCGAGCAAAUCUAAAUCCCCAACACUAUUAGUUCCUGGACUCCUAUAUCAACAACUAGCCUCAACCCAGAAUGCGAGCUUCAUAUUCUGCCAUGUUAUUGGUACAAUAAAAUCGAAGUUGUACUGUUACCGAAAAAUAUUGCCCCACCUCAGAGAUAAGAACAACACCUAUUCUAACUCCCUUGACGUUAACAACUCCAUCAAAGAACAACUUUCAACCUGGAUCAACAUCUAUAAUGACUUCAUCGACACACAAUACCUCUUCAUCUGGAAAAUAUGUCUUUAAUGGGUCAUACUCUUCAUCAAUGAGAUUCUUAGCAAGAUGAUCUGCUAAGGCUUGGUAUUUCAUGGCGGUUCGAGUCACAUAUACAAUGUCAAACUUGGUAAGCAAUAUUUUCCACUUUGCCAAUCAACUCGUUGGCAUAGGCUUAUGAAAUAUAUACAUCAACAGAUCUAUGCGGGAGAUGAGAUAAGUAGUAUAAGAUGAAAGAUAAUGCUUAAAAUUUUGUUCUACCCAAGUCAGGGCACAACACGUUCUUUCAAGAAGUGUGUACUUGGCUUCAUAUGUUGUGAACUUCUUGCUAGGUAAUAAAUAGUUUAUUCCCUUUUGCCCGUGACAUCAUGCUAACCCAAGACACAACUAAAGGAAUUGUCCAUGACUGAUAAAUAUAUGAUCAAAGGCCUACCAGGAUCCGGUGGUACCAGCACGGGCGGAUUUAACAGAUAUCUUUUGAUUUUAUCGAACACUUCCUGGCAUUCUUCAAUCCACUCUACCACAACACUCUUUUUCAGCAACUUGAAAAUGGGCUCACACGUGGUUGUGAGUUGAGAAAUAAACCUGCUGAUGUAGUUCAAUCUACCCAGGAAACUUAUCACCUCCGUCCUAUUCUUGGGUGAAAGCAGAUCUUGGAUGGCUUUGAUUUUCGAGGGAUCCAAUUCAAUUCACAGAUGGCUGACUACAAACCCCAACAACUUUCCAGACGGAACUCCAAAUACAAAUUUUGCUGGAUUGAGCUUGAGAUUAUACCUGGGAAGCCUUCUAAAGAACUUUCUUAAAUCUUUUACAUGGUCAACCUGGCUCUUUGAUUUAAUAAUUACAUCAUCUACAUAGACUUAAAUAUCCUUAUGCAUCAUAUCAUGAAACAUGGUGGUCAUGGCUCUCAUGUAUAUUGUUCCAGCAUUCUUCAAACCGAAUGGCAUCACUUGAUAAAAUAAGUACCCCACAGUGUGAUAAAAGACGUCUUUUCCACGUCUUCAUCAUCCAUAAUGAUCUGGUGGUAUCCAGCAUAACAAUCCACAAAAAAGGCUACCUCAUAUUUAGCGCAAUUGUUCAGCAAAAUAUGGAUGUUGGGCAGCGAAAAAUCAUUAUUCGGACUUGCUCUGUUCAAAUCAAGGUAAUCAACACAUACUCGAAUUUUGUCAUCUUUCUUUGGGACAGGAACAACAUUGGACAACCACGUAGGAUAAAGAGCCACUCGAAUGACUUUGGCUUUCAGUUAUUUCAUAAUUUCCUCUUUGAUUUUAAUACUUACAUCAGUUUUAAACUUCCUCAACUUCUAUUUCACAGGGAGGGGAAGGCAGGAUCAGUUGGCAAUUUAUAAGACACUAAUUCAGUGGUUAAACCGGGCAUAUCAUCAUAAAACCAUACAAAAACAUUCUUAUAAUCAAUUAAUGCUUGAACCAUGCCCUCUUUUAGCUGUGGCAAAGCAUGUACACUAAUUUUAGUUUCCCUAACAUCUUCUUGAUUCCCUCGAUUAAUUGGGUCAAUUUCAUUCAAAUUAGGAUUUGAAUUGUCUUCAAAUUGUUUCAACUCUUUGCUUAUUUCUUCUAGUGCCUCUUAUUCAUCAUAUUCCCCUCUUGCUUCAAUAUAUCUUGAUUAGUUUGGAUUUUAAGAUUAGGCUAAAAAUUUCACAUGCAUGUCAUGUCAUUAGAGUCAGCAUAAAGAGAACUGUAUAAAGAAAAGACAAAACAAAAUACAUUAGACAAAAAAUAAAAGGGACAUUACAUUUCAUUAAAAGGGAAAGGUAGGAGGGUUUAAACACAAACAACAGAAUAUAAACAAGCUAAAUUCUGAGUUACAACCCUGGAAUAACUCAAAAAACUGAAAGGAAAACAAAAUAAACUAUCAAAACAGCCUCCUGAUGGGGAGAGGAGUGACUUCCCAAUUGUUGAGACAGACAAUUGGAACUAUGAACUGCACAUCUUCCUUACUGGUACCUUCUCCUGCUUCAACCAUGUCAACUUCAAUCAAUAGGUUCUGGAAGUCAUCAACCAAUUUAGCUUUAAAUUCUACAUGCUUUAUGACACCGCUCUUGACAAAUGACUCACUGAGUAGCGGCGUUGGGUGAGGGAGUGACCAUGUUUCCUUUUUCCUUUCCUUGGCCUCCUUCAGAUCUUCAGUCGUAGGUUCAAAACCCAGACCAAAAGUGCCUAUGUUCUCCCUCGGACAUAUAGGACGAACUAUACCAUACAGAGACACUCCCAAACCUUUUCCUGGCACAAAUCCAUACUUCAACAUCUCAUUCACCAUCAUGAAAGAAGUAGAAGACAAUCGUGGUCCCGACAUAACCUUCUCCUCAAGAAUAAGAUCCACCGACACUGUAUCAAACGACUGAUAGAUAAAUGUAUCCUCUACACUAAUUGCUUCAAUAAGAGGGAUGAGAGAAUCUUUGUGGGCGGACAAAUCCCUUUUGCCAUGAAUAACCACUUCUUGCCUGUCAUGCUCAAACUUGAUCAUCUAGUGCAAUGUAGAUGCAACAGCCCCAACUUUGUGGACCCAUGGUCUUCCCAACAACAGAUUGUAUGAGGAGUCAAUAUUCAUCACUUGGAGCUCUAUGGAAAAUUCAACAGGCCCUAUAAGCAACAUUAGUUAUAUUUCGCCAAUGAAGUCUGUUUUAGCCCCAUCGAAAGUCCUGACACAUACAUUAUUCGGCCUAAUCCUCUCGACACCGAUGUUCAACUUUUGUAGUGUAGAUAUAGGGCAAAUAUUUAUGCCAGAACCUCCAUCAAUCAUGACAUGAGUGACGCAGAAAUCUUAACACUUCACGGUAAUGUAAAGACCCUGGUUAUGCCCCGUACCUUCAACUGGAAAUUUGUUAUCAGAGAAGCUGAUUCGAUUUACUUCAAAGAUUUUUUCGACUAUUUUCUGAAGCUGAUUUAUCGUAAUCUCCUUAGGAAAGUACGCUUUGUUUAAUACCUUCAGUAUAAUGUCACGAUGUUCCUUGGAAUGCAACAACAAAGAUAAGAGGGAAAUUUGAGCAGGGGUCUUCUUCAACUGAUCUAUUAUUGAAUACUCUGGAAAUUUCAUCUUUUUCAAAAAUUCUUCAACUUCUUUUUCGGUGACAGGCUUCUUGACAGAUGAAGGCCCACUUACCCCUGGCUUGGGCUUCAUCAAACCUUUAAGCACGAAGCAUCUUCCUGACCGAGUCAGACCCCCUAUCACAUCUACUUCUUCCUCGACUUUCUUUCCUUAAUAAGUCAUCACAGUCUGCUUAUAGUUCUAGGGUACCUUUUUCGUAUCAACUGUCGGAGGUUGGGUCACCGGUUUGAUGAUAAUAGGCGCUGCAAGUACUCCUUUCACUGUCAAGAUAGGCUUACCCGGAGCUCCUAUCACCAUUAAAUUAUGCUCGUCUUAACUUAGACCAACAUUUUUUCUGGCUCCUUGCACCACAAUCACAGGUUUCUUUGUGCUUUCUUGGACUUUAUCUUCUCCCAUUCCUUCCUGGCUUAAUGACAUUGCUUUCAAUGAAUCUUCAACAUUCACCUAUUUGUCCUCCUUGGUUUGUAUUCUGACAAUAGGCUUAUAACACAUUGAUGACUCUUUGCCAUCAUAUAUCAACUCCAAUAUAUUAGUUUCAGCAUGGUUGGCAAUGGAUUCUGGUUAAUGUUUGGAAUUUACAGGGCCUGGACUAGAAGUUGAUUUGCAUCAAUUAAAUCUUAGAAAACUCUCUUCAAAUGCCAGCAUUUCUCGAUGUCGUGCCCCGGCAUAUCAAAACAAUACGCAUAUCUUAAUGAAUAAUCAAGAUUUCUCGGAGGUGGAUUCAAAAGCCUUCCUUGAAUUAGGCUCAAUACCUUCAAAUUCCUCAACCUAGGUUGGAAAGCGGGUUUGGAGGGUUUUUGGUAAUUUGGAGGAGCUGAAGGACGAUUUUGAGGAGCUUAUGCAUGCCAUUGUGGGUAAAAAAGGGUUUGAGCAUAUGCUUGUGCGCUAUUUACUGGGUACGGGGGUGGUGGAAUGGAAUAUAGUGGGUUUUGUAGGGGAUAGUAAUGAUGGGAAAGAAUAUAUGGAGCUUGGGCAUAGGCUUGGGCUUGGGGUUAGUGAUAGGGGCAAGGUGGUCUUUUGGGAUAGGAAUGGGAUAUAGCUAUAAUGGUUGCCACCUCCUCUUUCUUAUUUUUUACCUCCAAAAGUUCCAGAGCCACCUUGAAUUGCUUGGGUGAUGGCUUUUAAUGCGGCAAAACUCAUAAUCCAUCUAGUCUUGUUUCUGUCCUCUAUCAUCUCUCCCAUUUUUAGGACUUCAAUAAAUGACUUUCUCAUCGCCGGAAGUAAAUGUUGAAAAUAGGUCUCAUCCUAUGCCAGAAUGAAGACCUCUACUAACUUACUCUCCUUCAUUGGAGGUUUUACCCUUGCGGACUGUUCACGCUAUCUUAUCGCGUAUUCCCAAAAACCUUUAGUACUUUUCUUUUUCAUAUUGACCAGGGAUUUCUCAUCAGGAACCAGAUCGAUGUUAUAUUGAAAAUAUUGCACAAAUUCAUUAGCUAGGUUAUCCCAGUUGUUCCAAUUGUCAAUAUCCUGAUCGAUGAAACAUUCUAAAGCCAGACCGGAAAGACUCUCACCAAAGAAAGCCACAAACAACUCUUCUCUUCCCCCUGCAGCCCUCAAUUGGUUGCAAUAACGUCUCAAAUGCGCCACGGGAUCACCGUUUCCCUCGUACUUCUCAAAUUUGGUCAUUUUAAAACCAAGGAGAAGGUUAACGUCUGGGCAUAUGCAAAGAUCUCUAUAGGAAACACUCUUAUAACCCCCGAUUCCUUGUAAAUUCCUCAUGGCCUGUUCUAAAAUUUUCAAUUUCCACGCUAUGACUUCUUGUUCCUCUAUUGUAACUAGCUUCUCUGUAUCAAAUGGAAAUGCAGGUGGAUGAGUGUACCCAUAUGGUUCAUUCAUCUUCAAAGUAGGUUCCAGGGCAUAAUACUGAUUAUCUGAAACCUUCAAUACUGGCUCACUAACAGACUGAAGGAGUACCAUUGUCGGACGUACAGUAUAGAUUGGAGCUUUAGGUGGUGGCGGAGCCACGAACACAGGCGCUGCCGGUGGCUCCGAAUGAGUCACGGGCCUUAGUUGAGGAACUGCUAGGGGAACACUAUAAGUGCCAGGGUAAUAUUGCCGUGGAGUGAAUCCGUUGACUCAAUGGGAACAGUGAAUUGCGCCUAAGAGAGCUGUGGGCAAUUAGGGAAAUUCCCAAGAUCUUUAGGGAGUGGAGGAGGAGGCAUGCCACUAGCCCAUGCUCGGUGAAGAUCUAGCAAUUGUUGUCUAAGUCUUAAUACCUCAUCAUUGCGUUCUAAACUUUCUUUCCUGGGAUCCUGAUCUGGGUCAAUGAGUGAAUUUUCAAUCUCCCUACUAGACAUGACAAGCUUAUCUUUUGAUCUAGUGAAGUACAGAUGCCUAGACAAAGUGCUACAAAGCAACCACUUAUCUGAAAGAACAUGCUCAUCAAAGGCAAAACCCAUUAGGAUUAGGUCAGGAAACAAGCAUAGAAAUCACAUAGUAUACAUCAUAGGUUUAUGUACAUUUCUACUGGCCUUUGAGGGUACUGAGGCCAUUUUAACAUCAUCCCGAUUUUCUCAUUACAUUAUCACACCUCGUUCUUUCUGCUUUUCACCUUCACUUCUUCCUUCUUUUGCAUCAAUUUCUUCUCUUCCUCUUUUCUUCUCUCAUUGCUAUUUCUUUCUUUUCUUCUCUCGCUAUCUCAUUUCUUUUUGUCAUUCUUUAUGGGUUUUGCUUUUCUUUAAAAGAGGAAAAUAAUGAAAAACAAAGAAACAAAAUGAUUAGAUCGAACCCAAAAGUAGGUUGCCUACGUAUCAUAUUAAUGAAUCAGAUCUUGCGUAGUUCGGGAGACAUAUGCACAAAUAUCACAUAAUUGAAGAUUUUUGAUUUUUGAUUUUUUUUUUUGGCGAAAAACAAACAAAAGAAAAAACCAACAUCACUACAUUUCAUAAAAGGGAUGACUCAAACAUACUUCAAAUUUAAGACAAACUUAAAACUAAUCAACGAAAACUAAACAACACUCUAGACAUAUAGGACAACAUGCGUAACAUUCCUUAUAAAGACCCUAGCGUUAAAACAAACUGGACAUCGACUUAACAAAGACACAAUACUACAAUGGCAGAAAAGUAAAGGACUCAAACUAAACAAAAGAUAAGAAAUGCUCUUUCAAACUGGUGCGUCGUGUGAUGACCCUGGAUGAGAUGGACCUUUCUGUGAAAUUCUACUCAAACUAUAUAGCAUAUCUUGCAAGGACAGUUUGAUAUUUUGGAAGAAACUUCUAGCACGUAUUCCUGCCUCAUGGGGAGUGCACCUGAAAAGACUGUUCUGACAUAUUUCCACAGUUGCGAGCAAACCUGAUAACUGAACUCUCAACUCCUCCACUUUGAUCCCCGCACCCUCAUCUUGACGAACAUCAACUAUGCAUUCUUCCUGUGUUCUUCCUCUAAGCUGUGCUGGUAAUGGUCUACUGAUACCCCGAGGCAUGGACUCUAGCCAGAUCUCAUAUCUCUGAGUGUACCCCGGAUUAUCCAAACCUUUUUUAAGAGUGUCUACACCUAGCAUUGUUGCAUGCUUCCAUAACUGCUCGUAUUUCCUCUCACCUAAGGCUUGGUCCUUGAAGUACUCAACAUUCUUUAGAAGAUCCACUACUGUUUGCACGUCCUGCGGCCUGCCCAACUGGCGCAUUAUCCUAGAAGGACUGUAUGGUCUAGUGCAAUUGAGUCCUAACAUAACUAUAAGGAGCUGCAUCUGACAACCAAACAAGAUUAUUUUUGGGCGAAGCCACAGAUAAGUCUACAAAAUGUUAUCCUCGGUUCUUGACUCAAGAAAUUCAAUCCAAGCAUCGACUCCCACGAGUUGCGAGAAUUUAUCAAAGCGCCACCUGAGGUCCAUGACUUUCACUCGAUUGGGAACACAACUAUCAACCAUGUCUGGUCUAACUAAAGAAGGCGCAUGCAAAUGCUCCAUCAUCCACAACUACAAUAUCAGGUUACUGCCCUCCAAAAAUCUCAUCCCCCGUUUACUUCGGUUAAAGCGUUAUAUAUUUCUGUUAAGAUCAUGGGUAUAAUAGUGAACUUUUCCUUUUGAUUAGUGACCUUGACCUUUUGAUUAACGAUCUUGCCUUUUUGAUAUGUGAUAUUGUCUUUUUUAUCCUUAUGAAAUAGAGCCAUUACCACAGAUUGCAAGCGUGUAUUAAUACGCCUUUCUUCUAGCGGAAACACUAAAGUGCCUAACAGAGCGAGGGUGAAGACUUCAAGAUGUUUUCUUUCCCAAUUAUGCUUAGUCAUAUAAAAUUCAUCCCAAAAGUAGUCAAAACCUUUCAAGGACCCAAACCUAGCGAAUAAAAAGUCAAAGGAAAUCCAUGAUUGAUUCAGAUAACCCAAAUGCUUGUUGUUACUCUUUAACCCACAACCUUGUAGAAAUUUAUUGCCCGAGUGAUUCUGAGCUCGGAUCAUACUCUUAUCGAUAUAAGGCAAAUAAAGCAUACCGAAUAUUUCUGCCAAGGUAGGAGUCAUUCAUAGUUUCCGAACCUGAACACCACACUACUAGGAUCCCAAAAGGUUAACAUAGCAUCUAUUAGAUCUGGCCGAGGUGUAAGAUAUAGAAGCUCCAUAGGAUCACCUAGUAUCUUAAUUACCUCUUGCUUAUUAGUACAGUUGGACGUGCCCCACCACUUGAUUAACUUUUUGGGUACUUUGGAAACCAUCAAGUCUCUAGAACCUAUGGGAUUCAUCCUGUAAGAACAAACCAUACUCAAAAUUCAAAACAAGAGAAAGAGCUCCCGACCCUCGGGAUUUUAGCUUAGAGAAAUAUCAUAUGACAUAGAGGGACAGAUCGACCUAUAACUUAAAUAUACCGAACAGUACCGCCGAAUGAAAUCAGCCUACUUGGCAAGGACCAGUUGACAACACUAGAUUACGAGGAGAAAGACCCUAGCCUAAGAUCGAGAUGAAGAUCAAGGUAAAAAGAUUACCGGACCUGCCGAGGGUUGCCUACGUAUCCCACCUCGAGGGACGAGAAUCAGGUAUGCGUAGUUCAUCCAGAUUAGACAAUUAAGGACUACAAUGAACUAAGACUUGACCUAAUAGGUGGGAUUACAGACGGACGAUGGAAAUAACAUCUUUUUGGGUUUUUUAAUAAACACUUUACAUAAAAAUAGUACCACUAUGAAAUUAAAAUCUUUUUGGUAUUUUCAUGAAAUGUACAAAACUCCUACAAUUUUUUUCCAAUUUUGUUUUAUAAAAACUCCUAUGAAUGAAAAAUCUUUUUGAAGUUUUCGAAUUGUGAAUGCAUGCUAAACGAGACAAAGGAACAUUUUUUUUGAUGUUUUUGUUUUUGAGAAAUGAGUGCUAAAGGUAAAAGUUUUUUUUUUCUUCUGAAUUUUUGGAUUGUGAAAAACAAAAGCCAUAAAGAACUCGAAAAACUACGAAACUCUUUCUUUUUUCUUUUUCUUUUCUUUUUUUCCAUUACCCAUACACUUUACUUCUAACACAUGUUUCCCCAAAUUAGUCCGUCAAAUGACCAUGUUACCCUCAAAGAUGCAACAUUUAGCACGUUGGGAUGUUUUAGAGGUGAGUAUCCUAUGAAGGACCAAGUAGGCCCCGCUAAGUCUCGACAUGAUGCACAUAAACAUGACCAGAAGGUAAUAUGACCUGAAGGCUAACCUACGCUGGGGUUCACUAACAAGGCUGUUCGGGGGAGCGUAUGAUUGAUAGUGGCUGCGGCAGCUUUCCAUCUACUCCAUAUAACCCAACGGCUCCCCCAUUCUAAAAUAAGGGUGACUCAACUAUAGGUCGUGUACACACGUGUACUACAGACUUGUUGCAGAAAGAAUGACUCGGGUUAUGCACAUGACGUCAUAUAUAAAAAAGUAACAUAUUAAAUAAAAACUGUAAACAAAGAGCACGUAGGCACUCACCAAUGAUAAACAAUAACACAAAAUAACACAAACAAAAUGUCUAUACACCUAUAAUGCCAAACUAAGACGAUACAACUCCAAAAUAAGCUUGAAUUCUAAAAAGUGCUCCCCAGCGUAGUCGCCAGAGCUGUCACACCCUUUAUAAACUCCAAAAAAGAUUCAUUUUAAGUUCGAAAGGGUUUUUAUUAUCAACGUGACAAAAGAUGAAAAAAAUUUCAAAAAGAAUUCACUUUACAAUUAACUCAGAGUCGCCACUUGGCUUAAUCCGGUGUGCCAAGUCACAUUUAAAAAGUCCUUUUUAAAAUGAUUUGACUUUUUAAAACUGAUUUGUGAACAGAGAUUCCAGCUAAGAAAUUCUGUUGAUCGAGGGGAAGGUGUUAGGCACCCCUCGGUCCCGUGGUUCAACCACGAUCGCUUAGUAGAGCGUAUCGGCUAAUUUGACAUUAUAAAUGUAUAAAACACACAAAACAAACAAAAAACAAUAAAACAAACAAAGAAAACAAAACGAACCAAAAAUACAGUGUCCAGUCCAAUUUAUACAGUCCAAAUAGAAAAAUGCAAAAAAUAAAUCCUAUCUAACCUAUACUAAUUCCAACUUCGCUCUCGUGCAUUACCCGAUGCCUCGGGCCUUCAUCACAAAUGUUCUCAGGGUACAUAAUACUUUGGGACAUUUCCCGAUGAAUGAACAUAAAUAGCUUGGGGUAUUCCCCGGCCAAAUGAUACAUUCAAUCCCGAAAUCAAUAAAACCAAACCGUUCAACACGUAUUUCAAGCAUUCAAUAAUUCAACGAGCAAAACUUAUUCCUAAAUCUUUGCCUACCAGAGCCUACUUUUGCCUAUUCAUUUGGCCUACCAUGAUACUAUCAUGUCAAUGAUAUUCAAUGAAUCAAAAUAAAUUAACGCUUAUUUUUUUAUCAAUUUCAAUUCCUACCCCCUCCUAAAAUAGUUUCCUUUUCAAUCAAUCAAUGAUUAACAGAUCUUUUAGUUUAACACCUCUUCAAAAUUCAGAACCAACAUCCAUACAUCAACCAACAAAAAUUCAAACAUAUGAAUCAUUCAUACCCAUCACAAUAGUUAAUACCACUAAAAAUCUCAAGAAAUCACGCCAAGGCCAUAUUCGAAAUAAUAAAGAGAUAGAGUUGAGAAAAUGGACCUUCAAAGAUUACGAUGAUAUCAAUGUUUAAGAAAACCAAACCCGAAAGAUAAAAUAGAAACUCUCAAUAGAGAUAAGAUCAUAACACGAAUCGAUAAACAGCAGUCCGAAAUUGACCACAAUAACCUGACUAAGACCCAAAAUAGAAAUCCCAACCCGAUCGAUGACAUGAUUUGAUCACAAAAAAACCUCUAAGACUGUCACUGACGAUGAACAACAAACGUAGACAAACCUAAAAAAAAACUCCCAACGACACGACAAAAAUCGAGAUCCAAGAGAUUUCGGCGAAGUAGUCGCUGGAACAGUGACCAAACCUGCAAAACCCUUUUCCGAAUAACUUCGAAUCUACCCUUUUUUCUUCCUUAUUAUAGAUCGACCCUCAAAUCCCUCUCUUGCGUGCGAGUCACUCAAUAUUUUCCCUCAAACUCUCCACUACCUGAUUGUCUAUUCCAGUCGUGUAUUCUGUGUGCGUGAGUGAGUGUGAAUCAGUGAGGUGUAGUAUAUGAGAGUGUGUGUGUGUGAGUUACUGUGUAAAAGAAAAGAAGGCCCAAAAAAUAAAGUCUGUCAGUGUUUUUUUAAUGGAGAAGAUCAUGUUCUUGGUAUGUUAUGUGUAGAUGAUGAUAAGAGCAAGAACUAGAAAAAUUGUGAGGCCUUCCUCCCCUUUUCUCUCAUGCACUGUGUGUGUAUACAUUUCAAAGGAAAGAAAAAUAUUUUUGGAGACUUGUGGGUCCAUCCCCCUAGGUAAUUUCCUGGAAAAUUCCCUGGGUCCUUUCUUUGUUGACAAGCAAAAUAAAAAAGGAGGGAGGGGUCACGUGAGGUGGGGGUAGGAGGGGUAGGGGUUAGGAUAUGUGACCGUGUGGCCACUGUGUUAUUUGAUUUUGGUUCUACUUUGUCAUAUGUAUCUAUCAAUUUUGUUGUGGAUUUGGACAAGGUGUGUGUCUACUUGACUUUUCUAUUCACGUGCCCACUCCUGUGAGUGAUUCUCUUGUUGUUGAUAGGAUUCAUCAUUCUAGUUCUGUUAUGUUAUGGGGUAUCAAACUUGGGCAGAUUUUGUGAUUCUAGACAUGAUAGAUUUUGAUAUAAUUUUGGGUAUGAGUUGAUUAUCUAUAUAUCAUGCUAUGCUGCAUAGUCAUGCUAAGAUAGUGACUGUAGCUAUGCCGAAAAUGGAUAGACUUAAGUGGGAGGGUGAUUAUAGUCCUACUCCAAUGAAACUUAUUUCUUUCUGCGUGCAAAGAGGUUAAUUGGAAGAGGUUGUUUGACCUUCCUAGCAUAUCUUCGGGACACUUCCAUAGAGGUCCCAUCUAUUGAGUUAGUUUCUAUGGUGUGUGAGUUCCAAGAGGUUUUUCCUGAAGAUCUGCCUGGUAUGCCUCCAGGCUUUGACAUUGAUUUUUGUAUUGAUCUAGACCCAGAUACUCGUCCUAUUUCUAUUCCUUCCUAUAGGAUGUCUCCAGCUGAGUUAAGGGAGCUAAAGGCUUAGCUGCAGGAUUUAUUGAGUAAGGGUUUUAUUUGUUCGAUUGCCUCUCCAUGGGGUGGUCCUGUCUUGUUUGUGAAGAAGAACGAUGGUAGUCUUCUUAUGUGUAUAGACUAUAGGUAGAUGCACAAGUUAUAUUCCAUAAUAGGUAUCCUUUACCCUAUAUCAGUGAUUAUUUAACAAGUUAUAGGGUGCAUCUGUAUUUUCUAAGAUUGAUUUGAGCUCCGGGUAUCAUUAGCUUAAGAUCGAGUCUGCCGAUAUUUCUAAGCCUGUUUUCAAACCCGGUAUGGGCACUUUGAGUUUUUUGUGAUGUCUUUUGGGUUGACUAAUGCCCCAACUACCUUUAUGAGUUUGAUGAAGGGGAUAUUUAAACCUUACUUGAAUUUUUUCAUGAUUGUAUUUAUUGAUGAUAUUAUGGUUUAUUAUAGAGUAAAAAGGAACUUGAGAAUCACUUAAGGAUUGUUUGGGUUGUUAGAAGAGAAAAAGCUUGAUGCGAAGUUUUCUAAGUGCAGGUUCUAGUAGGUUUCUUUCUACUGUUCUUCAUAGAUAAUGUGUGAUAUAUAUUGUGUAUGGAUAUGGAUGUUAGGCUUGAUUAUGAGUAGGAUGACUUGGCCUCGAUUGUUAAUAUUUGGAGUUUAUACGCUGGCUUGGGACCCGUAAAAUGUCAUGUUUAUACCCUUUCUAAAUUCUAUUGCUUUUCCUCUCUAGUUUAAAUUAGUUGUAGCUUAGUUAUGAUGUAAACCUAUGUUUGGGAUGUGGUUUUAGUAUUUGAAGCAUGAUUUGUAUAUUUAGCCUUAUAGGGCUAGUUUGAUAGUCUUGAAAUCAUAAGUUGCAUAGAGUUGACUUGAGUACCCUUGUUUCUAGUCAAAGUUGCUAGCUUGAAUAUGGCUUACUUGACAUCUAGAAGAUAAAAUUGAUACCUUAGCCUAGUUUGGGGCAUAGUUUUCCUAAUUAUGGAAAGUGAGGUUUAGAAGUGGGAUCGUCUGGCCCAUUUAGGCCUAAACUUAUGUUAAGUAUUAUGGACUUAAUUGCGGAUGUUAGACAUAGAUGAGGGUAGUAAACCUUAGAACAAGGUUACUUGAUAACUUGGUAACUUUUAUUGAUGUUCCCAGAUUGUGGCUUUUGAGUUAUAGUUAUGAUACUUCCUAUGGAUGUGAUAUUGGGCAUUUAGAGAUGCUAUUUCCUCUUAGACUUGAUGAUUGACCCAUAGAGUUGCUAUUUUCUUUAGUCAUGAUUAUUGGACCACUAGAGACAAUGUUCCUCUUAGAUAUGCAAAUUGGCCGAGAGAGGUGAUAUUCCUCAUAGUCAUGAUGUAUGUGACCUAUCGAUAUAAGAUAUCCUAUAGACGAUUACAUGUGUCAUCUAUAUUAUACCUCCAAUAUGUGAGAUACUUUCUAUAUGUGAGACUAUUAGAGAUAUGCUAUGGCUUAUAAAUAUGAUUAUCGAUAUGAGUUUUGGAUAUGUAUAUGGGCCUAAGGCCGUGAUUAUAAUGUUGUGACUAUCCGAAUAAAUUAAUGGGACAAGAACUGGGUUAUGAUAAUGAUUGAAUAUCCGAGGAAUGUUUACCAAUGUAAAUGAUAGGACUACAGUUUAUGAAUACAUAUAUUUUUGUAUACACAUAUCUUUGGUAUGGGAUGGUGGAAUAUACAGUAUGUUAAUUACGACUUUAUUGAUUGUAUACUGGUUAUGGCAUGCAUAGAUUUGGUACAUUCAUGAUUAUUAUUUCGGUAAUUGAUGUGAUUGUAACUGAAAUAUGAUCUUACAAUUGUUCUGCCUAAUUAACGGCUAAGCUAUGUGGGAACUAGUUGUCUAUUAGGGGACUAUUGCUCUUGAUGGCUAGGAAUCUAAUGUAUUAGUUAAUGAAUCUUGCUUAAUUGAAACAUGGUAGCUAGAGAUGGUUAAUGCGUGACUUAUAGUGGGUCGGGUCUAGCAGAGGUGAAAAUUAGUUGGUAUUGAUAACUAAGUUUGUGAUAUUGAUUAGUCGAUAAACAAGGUGUUGUGUGUUAAUGAGGCAAGAUGAUAAGAGAUGUUGGUAAUAAGAGGUGACUAGUUAAUAACUUUGAAUAGUUACUAAAUGGUUAACUAAUUAAUAGUUAAGCAAGGAUUGUUGGUAAACGAUAAUUAGAUAAUGAAUAGUGUCAGUUAAUAAAAGAUAGUUAGGUGACAAGUAGUAAUGCAUUGUCUUGUAAUGAUUACUGGAUAUAGGAUGAUUAGUAGAUAAUAAUGAAUGAUGGAUAAAUGAAGAUUUUGGUCUAGUGAUGAACCUUGACUAGAUGUUAGAUGCUGGCUAUUAAAUAAGUAGUGGUUAGUUGCUAUCCCAUGAACAAGGAUAACGUGGAGGAUAAUGUUUAGUCUAAUAACUAGAGGUUAUGUGAUGACUAGAUAAUGUUUAUAGGCGCGUCUUUUGGUUAUGCAAUGACUAGCGAACUAGUGAUUCUAUUAUAAUGAGUAUUGGUUAGCUAAUAACGAGUAGUUGAGAAGUAUUGACUAGAUAGAUAUUCUAUGAUGAUAUGACUAUUUUUAUGAGUAUUUUAGUGUAUAUUAUUUGGUAAUGACUAUUAUGAUGAUAUGUUGAUUACCGAAAAGGCUGGAGGACACUAUUAUGAUAAUAUGUUGAUACCUGUCAAGGCCAGAGAAUACUAUUGUGACGAUAUUGAUAUCCGACAAGACCGGAGGACACUGUUGUGAUGAUGUUGAUACCUAGAAAGGCUGAAGAAUACUAUUGAUGAUGUGUUGAUAUUCGGCAAAGUCGGAGGUUGAUUACGAUGAUGAUGGUCCUGAUGAAGAUAGUUAUGAUGAGUUGUGAUACUGGUUGUGUACUUUGCCUUUAUUCCUACAUGUGCAUCGCAUAUCACUAGUAUGCACCUAUAUUUAUCAGCCGGUAUAGGAUGGUUGCAUAUAUAUGAGUGAAGAAUAUUUCUUGUGUUUUUGUAUACUAAUUAAACCUUUUGAGUCUGGGGCGGUGGGGGUACGCAUAGGCUCGGCUAAAUAUUUGGUUGUCCGUAAGUUGAGUGCUAAGGAGAUUGCAUCUGUGAAGGUCCAGAAGAAGAAUCUUCCUAUUGAGGAGGUCACUUUUUGCUGAUUCAAGUAAUUCCUUAGUACUUUCCUUGUCGCUUGUUUGUCAUUAGGGGACAAACGAUUGUUUAAUUAGUAUCUGAUGUAACGACCCUCCCGGUCGUUUGUGAAAUACUUACAUCUUUCUUAUUAGCUCUUCUUUUAGUUUCUAUACGUAAUUUAUGACUUACAGAGAUAGAUAGUACCGAUUCUUGAUGUGUUCCAGGUGAUUAAGUCCUUUGUUGAGUAUUUUAGAUAAUUAAUUUAAUUAGUGAUUUAAUGAGUUCAAAACUCAUAAUUUAACUACUUAUGGG